Cebus imitator (Panamanian white-faced capuchin) is the source of this 101-nucleotide long non-coding RNA. RefSeq lists it as uncharacterized. Lineage: Eukaryota; Metazoa; Chordata; Mammalia; Primates; Cebidae. The record is from RefSeq and is a predicted model, not a curated record. The transcript is spliced from 3 exons.
UGAAUAAACAAGUCAUGGUAUGUUCAUAUAGUGAAAUAUCUUAAUUUUUUUUUAAAUGACACAUCACCACAGGGUUGAGUCACACAGACAUCAUACUGAGU